GAGGGUGGAACCGCGC
Molecule: unclassified non-coding RNA, 16 nt
Filed under: synthetic construct
Source: RNAcentral